Molecule: non-coding RNA, 72 nt
Organism: Dama dama (fallow deer)
Lineage: Eukaryota; Metazoa; Chordata; Mammalia; Artiodactyla; Cervidae
Source: the annotation of a RefSeq genome assembly
UCCCUGCUGGCUCAGACGGUAAAGAACCUGCCUGCCAUGCAGGAGGCCCAGGUUUGAUCCCUGGGUUGGGAA